Non-coding RNA from Paramisgurnus dabryanus, 283 nucleotides. The record is from RefSeq and is a predicted model, not a curated record. NCBI's taxonomy places the organism in Eukaryota, Metazoa, Chordata, Actinopteri, Cypriniformes, Cobitidae.
CGUGUCAGUGCCUCUCACUGCAACGAUACCUGAAGCGGGAGUUUACUAUUCACCUGAGGAUUCAUGAACGGUUUUUCAUCGACUUAUCUUUGAUUUAUUUGAAGGAAAAGACCCUGAUGGAUAAAAGAUGGAUAUUUUUUUCCUGGAGAAGCUAAAACAAUGUAACUUUGAGGUUCUGAUACCAGCUUUUACAAAGUUAUUUACAGAGUUCACCAGACUUCUCUGUGUUAUUUCCUGACCAUGCCGAAAAGCUAUUUGAAACUUGGGCAUUGCAUUUUCCAGA